GAUCAUGGCUCAGAUUGAACGCUGGCGGCAGGCCUAACACAUGCAAGUCGAACGGUAACAGGAAGCAGCCUGCUGCUUCGCUGACGAGUGGCGGACGGGUGAGUAAUGUCUGGGAAACUGCCUGAUGGAGGGGGAUAACUACUGGAAACGGUAGCUAAUACCGCAUAACGUCGCAAGACCAAAGAGGGGGGACCUUCGGGCCUCUUGCCAUCGGAUGUGCCCAGAUGGGAUUAG
Molecule: ribosomal RNA, 234 nt
Filed under: uncultured bacterium
Lineage: Bacteria
Description: partial 16S ribosomal RNA
Rfam family: Bacterial small subunit ribosomal RNA
Source: RNAcentral